AGUCACUGACAUUAGAUACCCCCGUAGUCCAGGGUGUAAACGCUGCAGACUUGGUGUUGGAGGCCCUUUGGGGGCAUUCAGUGCCGGAGAGAAGUUGUUAAGUCUGCUACUUGGGGAGUACGUCCGCAAGGAUGAAACUUAAAGGAAUUGGCGGGGGAGCACCGCAACGGGAGGAGCGUGCGGUUUAAUUGGAUUCAACACCGUAAAACUCACCAGGGAAGACUGUUACAUGAAGGCCGAGAUGAAGACUCUGCUAGAUUUUCAG
This 265-nucleotide ribosomal RNA is filed under the name uncultured archaeon. RNAcentral describes it as "partial 16S ribosomal RNA". It matches the Rfam family "Archaeal small subunit ribosomal RNA", at positions 718 to 982 of the family's 1478-position model. The record is from RNAcentral.